This 253-nucleotide ribosomal RNA is filed under the name uncultured bacterium. RNAcentral's name for it is "partial 16S ribosomal RNA". It matches the Rfam family "Bacterial small subunit ribosomal RNA", at positions 524 to 776 of the family's 1533-position model. The record is from RNAcentral.
UACGUAGGGGGCGAGCGUUGUCCGGAUUUAUUGGGCGUAAAGAGCGUGUAGGCGGCCUGACAAGUCUGCUGUGAAAACUCGAGGCUCAACCUCGAGAUGUCGGCGGAAACUGUCUGGCUAGAGUCCGGAAGAGGAGAGUGGAAUUCCUGGUGUAGCGGUGAAAUGCGCAGAUAUCAGGAGGAACACCAAUGGCGAAGGCAGCUCGCUGGGACGUGACUGACGCUGAGACGCGAAAGCGUGGGGAGCAAACAGG